GAGGGUAGGAGUGAAAGGCCAAUCAAACUUGGAGAUAGCUCGUACUCCCCGAAAUGCAUUUAGGUGCAGCCUCGGGCGUUCCCUGUGUGAGGUAGAGCGACUGAUUGGAUGCGAGGGCUUCACCGCCUAUCAAGUCCAGACAAACUCCGAAUGCACACAGGCUCAGCCCGGGAGUGAGGGCGUGGGUGCUAAGGUCCACGCCCGAGAGGAGAAGAAUCCUGAUCACCGGCUAAGGCCCCGAAAUCCGGGCUAAGUUAAACUAACGAAGUGUGGUCCCCGU
RNAcentral lists this ribosomal RNA (280 nucleotides) under Glaesserella parasuis. Its description in RNAcentral is "partial 23S ribosomal RNA". It matches the Rfam family "Bacterial large subunit ribosomal RNA", at positions 811 to 1087 of the family's 2925-position model. Lineage: Bacteria; Pseudomonadati; Pseudomonadota; Gammaproteobacteria; Pasteurellales; Pasteurellaceae. The record is from RNAcentral.